GGGUGUGAUCAUACCAGCACUAAUGCACCGGAUCCCAUCAGAACUCCGAAGUUAAACGUGCUUGGGCGAGAGUAGUACUAAGAUGGGUGACCUCUUGGGAAGUCCUAUUGUUGCACCCC
RNAcentral lists this ribosomal RNA (119 nucleotides) under Ricinus communis (castor bean). The record is from RNAcentral. Lineage: Eukaryota; Viridiplantae; Streptophyta; Magnoliopsida; Malpighiales; Euphorbiaceae.